This 207-nucleotide ribosomal RNA is filed under the name uncultured bacterium. Its description in RNAcentral is "partial 16S ribosomal RNA". It matches the Rfam family "Bacterial small subunit ribosomal RNA", at positions 568 to 774 of the family's 1533-position model. The record is from RNAcentral.
CACGUAGGCGGAAUGUUAAGUCAGGGGUGAAAUCCCGGGGCUCAACCCCGGAACUGCCUUUGAUACUGGCAUUCUCGAGUCCGGAAGAGGUGAGUGGAAUUCCGAGUGUAGAGGUGAAAUUCGUAGAUAUUCGGAGGAACACCAGUGGCGAAGGCGGCUCACUGGUCCGGUACUGACGCUGAGGUGCGAAAGCGUGGGGAGCAAACG